AUUGAACGCUGGCGGCAUGCCUUACACAUGCAAGUCGAACGGUAACGGGCCUUCGGGUGCCGACGAGUGGCGAACGGGUGAGUAAUACAUCGGAACGUGCCCGAUCGUGGGGGAUAACGAGGCGAAAGCUUUGCUAAUACCGCAUACGAUCUACGGAUGAAAACAGGGGACCGCAAGGCCUUGCGCGGACGGAGCGGCCGAUGGCAGAUUAGGUAGUUGGUGGGAUAAAAGCUUACCAAGCCGACGAUCUGUAGCUGGUCUGAGAGGAUGAUCAGCCACACUGGGACUGAGACACGGCCCAGACUCCUACGGGAGGCAGCAGUGGGGAAUUUUGGACAAUGGGCGCAAGCCUGAUCCAGCCAUGCCGCGUGCAGGAUGAAGGCCUUCGGGUUGUAAACUGCUUUUGUACGGAACGAAAAGCCUUCUUUUAAUACAGGAGGGUCAUGACGGUACCGUAAGAAUAAGCACCGGCUAACUACGUG
Molecule: ribosomal RNA, 482 nt
Filed under: uncultured bacterium
Lineage: Bacteria
Description: partial 16S ribosomal RNA
Rfam family: Bacterial small subunit ribosomal RNA
Source: RNAcentral